This is a long non-coding RNA of Macadamia integrifolia, 451 nucleotides long. RefSeq lists it as uncharacterized. Lineage: Eukaryota; Viridiplantae; Streptophyta; Magnoliopsida; Proteales; Proteaceae. The transcript is spliced from 2 exons. The record is from RefSeq and is a predicted model, not a curated record.
GAAAAGAGAAGAGAAGGAAGGAAGAAAGAAGAGGAAAGGAACGAAGGAGAAAGAGAGUGCAGCAGCCCUCUCUGCUACUGCUGCUCCUACUGCUGUGGCUGCUAUUGCUACUAUUCAUAUACCCCUACAUGCUGCCCAUGGUGAGGAAAUGCUGCCAUGGCUGGAAAUAGAAUCCGGAGCUACACAGCUAUGGGUGGACCCAUCUGCAUACUCAAGAAUUGUUGGAAAGAUGGUGGAACCGGAGUUGAGAUGAACAGAACAUUAGUACGGUUGUGAGGCCGUGUUUGCAAGACACUUUGUAGCUGGAUGAACACCUCUACUAUUUAUUCUUGAAUUUAUAUUAACAAUGGUUGUAAAGUUUAUAUUAUUGCUAUUGUUACCUGUGGAUUCAAUCAUUACGGGCCUGUACCAUUAAUUAACAGUAACCAUCAUUGUAGUUGGUCACCACACA